Molecule: ribosomal RNA, 434 nt
Filed under: uncultured bacterium
Lineage: Bacteria
Description: partial 16S ribosomal RNA
Rfam family: Bacterial small subunit ribosomal RNA
Source: RNAcentral
AGCGAACGCUGGCGGCAGGCCUAACACAUGCAAGUCGAACGAACCUUUCGGGGUUAGUGGCGGACGGGUGAGUAACACGUGGGAACGUGCCUUUAGGUUCGGAAUCACUCAGGGAAACUUGUGCUAAUACCGAAUGUGCCCUUCGGGGGAAAGAUUUAUCGCCUUUAGAGCGGCCCGCGUCUGAUUAGCUAGUUGGUUGAGGUAAUGGCUCACCAAGGCGACGAUCAGUAGCUGGUCUGAGAGGAUGAUCAGCCACAUUGGGACUGAGACACGGCCCAAACUCCUACGGGGGGCAGCAGUGGGGAAUCUUGCGCAAGGGGCGAAAGCCUGACGCAGCCAGGCCGCGUGAAUGAGGAAGGUCUUAGGAUUGUAAAAUUCUUUCUCCGGGGACGAUAAUGACGGUACCCGGAGAAGAAGCCCCGGCUAACUUCGUG